CAUCUACUCCCUCGGUCCCAAAUUUUUGUCUUAAAUUUGUCUAAAUACGGAUGUAUCAAGUCAUGUUUUAGUAUUAGAUACAUCCGUAUCUAGACUAAUUUAAGACAAGAAUUUUGGGACGGGGUGAGUAUGAU
Non-coding RNA from Triticum aestivum (bread wheat), 134 nucleotides. NCBI's taxonomy places the organism in Eukaryota, Viridiplantae, Streptophyta, Magnoliopsida, Poales, Poaceae. The record is from Rfam.